AUUGAACGCUGGCGGCAUGCUUUACACAUGCAAGUCGAACGGUAACAGGUUAAGCUGACGAGUGGCGAACGGGUGAGUAAUGCAUCGGAACGUGCCCGGUCGUGGGGGAUAACGCAGCGAAAGCUGCGCUAAUACCGCAUACGAUCUGAGGAUGAAAGCGGGGGACCGUAAGGCCUCGCGCGAUCGGAGAGGCCGAUGUCAGAUUAGGUAGUUGGUGGGGUAAAGGCUCACCAAGCCAACGAUCUGGAGCUGGUCUGAGAGGACGACCAGCCACACUGGGACUGAGACACGGCCCAGACUCCUACGGGAGGCAGCAGUGGGGAAUUUUGGACAAUGGGCGAAAGCCUGAUCCAGCAAUGCCGCGUGCAGGAAGAAGGCCUUCGGGUUGUAAACUGCUUUUGUACGGAGCGAAAAGGUCUCCUCUAAUACAGGGGGCUCAUGACGGUACCGUAAGAAUAAGCACCGGCUAACUACGUGCCAGCCGCCGCUGUAA
This 493-nucleotide ribosomal RNA is filed under the name uncultured bacterium. RNAcentral's name for it is "partial 16S ribosomal RNA". It matches the Rfam family "Bacterial small subunit ribosomal RNA", at positions 29 to 523 of the family's 1533-position model. The record is from RNAcentral.